GACAUUAAUGACAAUGCCCCCAUGUUUGAGAAGGACGAACUGGAGCUGUUUGUUGAGGAGAACAACCCAGUGGGGUCGGUGGUGGCAAAGAUUCGUGCUAACGACCCUGAUGAAGGCCCUAAUGCCCAGAUCAUGUAUCAGAUUGUGGAAGGGGACAUGCGGCAUUUCUUCCAGCUGGACCUGCUCAACGGGGACCUGCGUGCCAUGGUGGAGCUGGACUUUGAGGUCCGGCGGGAGUAUGUGCUGGUGGUGCAGGCCACAUCGGCUCCGCUGGUGAGCCGAGCCACGGUGCACAUCCUUCUCGUGGACCAGAAUGACAACCCGCCCGUGCUGCCCGACUUCCAGAUCCUCUUCAACAACUAUGUCACCAACAAGUCCAACAGCUUCCCCACUGGGGUGAUUGGCCGCAUCCCGGCCCAUGACCCCGACGUGUCAGACAGCCUCAACUACACCUUCGUGCAGGGCAAUGAGCUGCGCCUGUUGCUGCUGGACCCCGCCACGGGCGAGCUGCAGCUCAGCCGUGACCUGGACAACAACCGGCCACUGGAGGCGCUCAUGGAGGUGUCUGUGUCUGAGCAAUGUGGCUGAUGACCUAGCGGGCAACUCAAGCCUUGAAUAUGCUCUGCCUUCUUUCUGCACAGUGGUCUUCCAGAAACAUUGACAUUCUUUGUUUUAUUUUUAUUCUUAAUUUAAAAAAACUAUAUAUAAUGAAUUAUAUAUAACAUAUACAUUAUAAUGAAUUAUAUAUAAAUUAUAUACACAAA
Molecule: small RNA, 764 nt
Filed under: Pongo abelii (Sumatran orangutan)
Lineage: Eukaryota; Metazoa; Chordata; Mammalia; Primates; Hominidae
Description: processed transcript
Source: RNAcentral